This 61-nucleotide small nucleolar RNA is filed under the name Pyrobaculum arsenaticum DSM 13514. Its description in RNAcentral is "Pyrobaculum sRNA 209". It matches the Rfam family "Pyrobaculum sRNA 209". Rfam says of the family: Non canonical pseudouridylation guide sRNA features. Predicted to target 16S U8 in Pyrobaculum. Lineage: Archaea; Thermoproteati; Thermoproteota; Thermoprotei; Thermoproteales; Thermoproteaceae. The record is from Rfam by way of RNAcentral.
GGCAGGAUCGGCCCCAGAGACGGCCGAGGCGCCGCCUGUGAGGGGGGCUCCGGUUCCUCUA